This is a non-coding RNA of Oryza nivara, 207 nucleotides long. Lineage: Eukaryota; Viridiplantae; Streptophyta; Magnoliopsida; Poales; Poaceae. The record is from Rfam.
AAAAAAAAAAACAUUGGGUUUCCGUGCCAAUAUUUUACUGUCCGUCUUAUAUAAUUUUUUUUUUAUAAUUAGUAUUUUCAUUGUUGUUAGAUGAUAAAACAUUAUUAAUACUUUAUGUGUGAAUUAUCUUUUUAAUUUUUUUCAUAUUUUUUUAAAAUAAGACGGACGGUCAAAUGUUAUACACGGAAAGCAAAGUUUGUCUUUUUU